UAUCUUCUAUGAAUUACUGAA
Molecule: non-coding RNA, 21 nt
Filed under: Caenorhabditis elegans
Lineage: Eukaryota; Metazoa; Nematoda; Chromadorea; Rhabditida; Rhabditidae
Source: RNAcentral